Molecule: ribosomal RNA, 534 nt
Filed under: Yamadazyma membranifaciens
Lineage: Eukaryota; Fungi; Ascomycota; Pichiomycetes; Serinales; Debaryomycetaceae
Description: LSU rRNA
Rfam family: Eukaryotic large subunit ribosomal RNA
Source: RNAcentral
GUGAAGCGGCAAUAGCUCAAAUUUGAAAUCUGGCACCUUCGGUGUCCGAGUUGUAAUUUGAAGAAGGUAUCUUUGGUUUUGGCUCUUGUCUAUGUUCCUUGGAACAGGACGUCACAGAGGGUGAGAAUCCCGUGCGAUGAGAUGCCCAAUUCCAUGUAAAGUUCCUUCGACGAGUCGAGUUGUUUGGGAAUGCAGCUCUAAGUGGGUGGUAAAUUCCAUCUAAAGCUAAAUAUUGGCGAGAGACCGAUAGCGAACAAGUACUGUGAAGGAAAGAUGAAAAGAACUUUGAAAAGAGAGUGAAAAAGUACGUGAAAUUGUUGAAAGGGAAGGGCUUGAGAUUAGACUUGGAAUUUUCCAUUUAUGGAGCUUUCCGGGCCAGCAUCAGUUUGGAUGGCAGGAUAAUUGCGUUGGAAAGUAGCACCACUUCGGUGGUGUGUUAUAGACUUCGUCGAUACUGCCUAUCUAGACUGAGGACCGCGUCUUUGACUAGGAUGCUGGCGUAAUGAUCUUAAGCCGCCCGUCUUGAAACACGGA